Long non-coding RNA from Cavia porcellus (domestic guinea pig), 7625 nucleotides. RefSeq lists it as uncharacterized. Lineage: Eukaryota; Metazoa; Chordata; Mammalia; Rodentia; Caviidae. The record is from RefSeq and is a predicted model, not a curated record. The transcript has 2 exons.
GUUGUGCACUGAGCCUUUCCACCAUCCUCUGUAGCACAGUCAGCCUCUUCUUACCCAGCUCCUGAUGUGCCCAUCCCUACUCUAGAUGAGGUUGCUCCAUAACCCUAAGAGCUGGGUGUGCACACAACAGAUAUGGGGUGGGGCGUGACUUUCAGCUCUUCAAACUAUGUCAAGAUUAUUUUUUCCAAAGCCCUUCUGAAAUUCCAUUGAGGCUGCAAUUGCAGGACCCCAGGGGCACUGACUGGUGGAUUAAGGAACUAACAUAGGAUGCAUGUCCUGUUUGACAGAACAGACAAACCAGGAAAUUGAAGUUCAUCCAGCAACCGGGUGCAAAGUGAGCCACCAAAAACUAUGGCAGUGGUGCUGGAUCAGCAGCUUAAGGACAGGCAUUUGGCCUUCUCCAGCUUCAGAUAUGGAAAUGACACAGAAGAAAAAUGUCAGGAAAGCAAGCUUGAUGGCAUUGCUCCUUGAAGCUGGAAGACCCAGGCCCCUCAUUUCUCGUUGCUUCUUGAUGAGGCCGUAUCCUGUACUAAAGGACCCCACAGUCCCACGCCACCUGGCUCUGGCACGAGUCUUAUCACAAUAUGGUCAGUGUGCUGGGAAUCUUUCUGACUUACUGAUUGUCUCUUCCUGGGUUUAUAUAAUGCAAUCAGAGGAGUGACAUCCCCCUCACCGAUAACAUGUUUAUUGACUAGAAACAAGUAAAAAAUGCCAGGGGAGGCUUUAACCUGUGGUCACUUGGUGUUGUCAUCUGGGGCCUGGAUCUAGAUGAUGGUCAUGGAGGGAGUGUGUGGCUGGGAAAUGCACAGCCAUCUGGCAGGAGAGAGAUAGCACAGGGUAGGGUCUCAGCAGCCCUUCAAGCUACCACUUCUGAUGCCCAAUUUGCUCCCAGCUGCCCACCAUUUACAAACUCACUACCUCCAAGUUGCACAGUGGGCUGAAAUCUGAGAUUUUAGCAUCUGUACAUUUGCAGAAUAUUUGGGAUCCAAACUACAGCAGAGGCAUCUUCUGCACUAAAACCCACAGUCUCCAGAAGUUUAAUAAAGUAAUCAAAGCAAGAAGCCCACAAAGGCUAGGAGUCUAACCAGAUCAAAUGGUGACCAGGGAGUAGAGCAAACAAAAACAAUCUCUAAACACUUAAGAGAGUAAACAAACAAGCAAACAAAAACAAUCUCUAAACACUUAAGGGACAGAAUGUUGUGAAAUUCUAGGCUGAAGAUGUGACUCAACAAUAGUGUUUGCCUAGCACUCAUGAGACACUUGGUUCCAUUGUCAGCACUCUAAAAUAGAAGAAAAAGAGGGAAGGGGAGAAGGGAAGAGGGUGAGUUGGGGAGGGGAGAGGCAGAGGAAGAUAUAUGAAUUCAAUAACAAAAAAUAUGAAACUCUGAGCAACUGAUAUUUUAGAGAAAAAGUAAAUGGUAAUGUGAUUUUAAUAAAGCAUUAUUCCUAUAAGCAUAAGGAGAGAUUUUCAUUAUAAAAAGAUGUGGGUAAGAAAAAUAAUCGAUUGAAGUCUUUAGAAAUCAAUAUUGUAUAUGUAAAAUAAAUAAAUGUGUAGAUAAUUGGACCCAAUGCUGAAUAAAAAGGUCUCAAAUCUUGGGACUGUAUUAUCAAUCAAGAAGAAAAAUAAGAUUCUCCUGAAACAUAGUGUAGCAGGACUAAAAGAAAUUACAAGGAGAGUUAUGAAAGCAACACAGAUCCUGAAACUUCAACCUAUUCCAGACUGUACAGUAAGAUGACAGACAGAGAUGAAGAAAAGAAAGAAAGAGAGAGAGACAGGGAGAGAGAGAGAGACAGAAACAGAGAGAGAAAGGCAGAGAGAGAGAAGUCAGGGAGCAUAAAAAGGAAUUGCGAGGGUAUUACUAUGUCAAAAAGAAAUUCCCAAAAGAGUCAAAGGUCAUUAAUUUUCAGAAGGAAACAACACACCCAUUCAAAAGGAUGAGUACUAAAAGUUUUUGCAACAUGCACCUGUUAUUUAAGGACACAAAUGAUAUUUAGAAAUCCCUAAUCCUUGGUGGAACAUCCUUUAAAAAUGAAUACCAUCAAUGCAGACUUAUUAGCACUAAAUAAUGGAUGUGUAAUAAUUUCAAUCACAUAAAAAUGUGAUUUUGACCUAGAAUUUCAUCUUUAUCAAAUUAUAAAACAAUUGUGCAGAGAAAGGACGUUAUUGGACAAUCAACAACACAGAAAAUGUUCCAUUUAAGGAACACUACUUAUGAAAGACCUCCUUGAGGAUGCUCCACACACAAAGUAGGGGGAAGCAGGUGAGAAAAUGGAAGAUUUAGAAUAAAACAAACAGUGUAUUCACAGGCUACUCAUUAUUUGAGUUCAUUUUCAGUACAAGUGAUGAUUGAUACAUGACGUUAAAAUUUUAAUAAUAUUCAGACAAUAAAUUUACUCGUAGUUUUCAUGGAAAUUGUACUCAGGGGGUUCAAAGAUGAGACAAAAUCAGCAUUCAUCUUUUUUAUUUUUCAGUUUAUUAUUAUGUAAAUUUUUGAAAUAAAAUUUUAAAGAUAUCCAAGGAAAGUGCAGAAAUAUCACGUAAAACUUCCAGAACAUUAAAGAGAGGAAAAUAAGUUACCUUGUUAAGAAGCCAGGGAGCCGCCCUAAAUCAGAUUCCAGCAGACUCAGGAGACCAAGACCUCUAAACCUUAGUGGCAUGGAAUGUCCUUUGCUUUUUUAUGACUCAGUUUCCCUCUCUCUGAAAUUGGCUCUUUGGUCUUUAUAUCUCACUGUCAAUCUAGCAUCAUACAUAAAUUCAUCAAAGACAUUUUGGGUCAUAAAUUAAAGAAAUGAGUAUAUGAGUUGUUUGCAAGAGUUUGUAAGGGUGGUCAUAGACGGGCUCAGUUUGACUUUUCACCAAUGCUUUGUGACUUACGAGUUGUUCUUUCAUGUUACAAUGAUGAAUCCUGUGACAACCUUCUUUUUCCACUUAGGGAUAGCAUACUUUUGGAUGAAAGUAUGCUAAGCCCGCAGUUUACAGUUUCUUGUGGCAUCUCUUUGUAUGCAGUGCCAGGUUCUCCAUCUCUGUGACCUGUUAGGAAAUUAGCAGCCCCUCAGGAGUGCCCAGGUGCCUGCAGUCACUGCCCUGGCUUCAGUCACCCAGAGAGAGCCGCAGCAGCUCUGGGGAGCUAGAUCUCAGGGGUGUGAGCCCUCCUACAAACCAUGCAUGUGAGGAAUCUUGGCUGCCCUGGUGGGACACUGCUUUUUAUAAAACCAGCUCCUAGUGCCAGAUGAACUGGAGACACUGCUUGGCACACCAUCAGCACUGUGCCCACAUAGCUGCACCAUUAAGCACCUCUCAGAGUUUACGAUCUGGGGCAUCACACUUUCCGCCGUGGCAGCUGACCCUGUGUCCUGCCUGAUCUCAUUUCCCUGAAGACACCCAUUUUACUGCGCUCAAACUAUCCACCCUCCUCGACAGAUUAUUUACCUCUUGGUUGUACUAUAGACUGAGGCAAAGAUAAGUGCUUUGUUCACUAUUCUUCCCAGCCUUGGGUCUAGCAGAGAUUUGCUUCAGGGUAAUUCCAUUUUUAAUCUUUUUUAUUCAUACAUGUUUGCAAUAGAUACUGAAUACUUUUCAUACUGGGUAAUGGGUGUGCAUCCAUAUUACAUAUUAAUCAUUUUUUUUUCCUUCCUUUUCCAUGCCCUUGUGUCUCCCCCAUCCUCAGAUUCCUUUCCAUCUCCACCAAUCUACUUCUACAAAUAUGAAAACAGAAGACUGAUGGUUUUCAGGGAUCAGGCUGAUGUGCGUGACAAGCCUGCCAUUCACCAUUUGUUGUACACAUAGUUCACAGAGGCAGGAGGAUUAUGAUCAUCCUUCACACCACAGAUGCUGUGAUCCACACCUCCUGUCUCUCUUGCUCUUCUCCUGGUGUGAGAGCUCUCUCAUCCCUACCUCCCAGGCCUAUAUUCUAACAGAUUUCCUCUUCCAUAUUCUGUCUCAACAAAAAUAUUCUCACCUUUUUUCUUCCUUAAACUGCUUUAAUUUUCCAUUAAUUGUGUCAUAUGGUGUUACUAAAAGUUAUAGGACUGUUUACAUUCAAUUUUUUUUAUUACAGUGAAAGACAUGCAGCUGUGAAUCACCUCAAAAUAGUACUACUUGUUUAGAACAUACUCAUCUCAUCGUGCUUGUCACAUCCUGCAGCAGCUCUGGAGUUUCCUUUGCUGAGAAUCUUUAGCUGUGCUUCCUGCCUGCCCUGAUGUCCUGAAUGGAUUCAAAAUGUUUCCCUUGAAUGGUCAUUGUGACUUUGGCUAAGAACCUCAGGUCCAGUGGGUGAGAUGGAUGAGAACAUGGCAUUGUGCUCUUAUUUGACAGAAACUGCCAUAAAUUUUGAUAAAUAAGAAAUGAUCAGAAAGCACAGUGAAUGCUGAAAUGGGAAGCUUUAUUACAGCAAAAGAUACAUUUCCACUUAUACCCCUCAACAUGCUCAAAAUAUUUCCUCUCACUUCCAACACUAUAACCUGUCUUUCACAGUAAGAUGUCUUUUCCUAUAAUAAGUCUGUUUUAUUCAAACAUAAUGUACUUUUCAGUCACCCUUGGCAUAAUCUGACAUGGUUGUCUAUCUUUCUAUGUGCUAGUCUCUCACCUUUAACACGUAAGCUCUGUGAAUCUAGUUGUCUGAUAAAAUUUUAUUUUGUGGGUUUUUCCCCAAUAAUAGUUGGAAAAUGAACCUUAUUUGAAUUAAUGAAUCAAAUAUGAUCAGUGGAUAAAGUUCAACAAGCUUAAGAACAUCCCAGCCAAUCUUACUCACUCAAAAAUGGGAAAGACGUUAUAGCCUCAGGAGUCAAUAGCAUGGAGCCCACGAUAUGUAUGUUUAAUGUAGGAUCCUUGGGAAAAAAAACCCUAAUAGUUUGUGCCUCCUCUGAAAGGUAAAACAGGACCUAACUGAGUCAUGAUGCAAAUCCAGAGAGUGACCCAAAAAUCCAGUAAACAGAAAAGAUUCACCUCCUUGUCUUUGUCAUUCCUCUUACCACAGAGCUAAGCUGUGCAUAUUCCUUUCCAGUCCACCAGAGAGAAACAGCAGCAGGUGGACAGAGGUGAGCAGGAAAGCAGUGUGCCCUCCUCAGUGACUACUGAUGAUUUUUCCUGGUCUUGCACAAUGGAUCUUCCAGGGACCCGGGCUGCUUGAAGCUGGCUGUCUUAGUCACUUUCCCAGUUGCUGGAAGAAAUACUCAACACCGCCAAUUUAAAGACUUUCUGUAGCGCAGGUUGUGAAGUCUCAGUCCUAGCACAUUCAACUGUUCCAAAGCAGGAAGACCUGGCACAAGGGUCUGGUGAAAGAGAGCUGCUCGGGUCACGGUGGCCAGGAAGCAGACAGCAAUAGAAGGUGCCAGGGCCGGAGAUGAAAACCCUUCCAGGUCUCACCCUAGGUAUGACGUCUUCCAACCAGCUACCACUUCCUCACAGCAAGUGAGCUCUGACACUUCUGCUGUCCAGUCCUCUUCCAAAAGCCUCACUUUAUGUGCCAUGGUGAAGAGUCUCAGUACGUCCUAACAUGGAGCUCCAUCAGAAUGCAUUUCUUCUGUGUUCAGCUCUUGGCAGAGGGUGAUGGGCAAGUUGUGGGACUCCUGCAGGAAGACCUGGGCUCUCGCUCUGCCCCUCCAACAUCCCUUGCUCUAUUCCUUGCUCGCUCUGGACUUAACUUCUUCAUUCACAUCAUGAAUAUUAAUAGUUCAAAGCAAGUCCUUUUCAUCAUUUUAGUAACCAUGUCAAAAAUGGAAACAACUCAAUACCUACCUGUGGGAGAUCAUUUAAAUCAAUCUGAUGUAGAGAACACAAUGGAAGAGUAUCUCAUGACAUAAAAGUGCCCAGGAUUAAUUGGUACAUACAAUUGUAGAUGGCCAAACAAUACAUUAGCAUAAAGCUAAUUUUGUAAGGAAAGGACAAAAACCCAUUUGGAUGCAGAGUAAUGUUGGGAGCCGCAGCCGAGCCCGGUCGCCUUACUUGGCGGACGUGAGGCCUGUAGAAAAGAGCAAAGCCCGAGCUAGAUUACCCCUCCCAUCGAGUGAGCCAAGUUGGCGCCUGCUUCCUGCCCCCUGAUUGCCCUGGCGACUUAAACAGCCCGCGCAAUAGAUUGGUCUACCUAGCAACCAAUGACGAUGACCAAUCAGCUUGCAUUGCUUGCUGUUGCCCUAUUGGAUGAUGAGUCCAUAUAUAUAUGUAUGUGACCCUCCCUGCGGGAGGAGAUAGAGAGAUAGAGAAAGUCCACCGGUAAGAAAGGACUGGUGGCAGAGCAGAGGCCUCGCGGGGCCCACGCGGAGACAAAUAAAGACAAGGUUGCACACCGUCAGAAUCUGUCGUGUGUUUUUCCUGCCGGCCGGGAGCGACACCGACAUCUGGUGGCCCCCACUCCCCACCAGUUCCUGAUAAAGCACAGGAGGAUAAGCCCGCGGACACAAGUCAACUCGACCCUUCUGGGACCGACGCUCAGCGCCCGAGACCAUCUACAAACUAAAAUGUCUGGUUUGGAGCUUUUUCUAUUCUGUAGGUUCCUAUUAAUCACCCCUGUUCGCACAAAUUUGACCAACACUGUUAAAAAUAUGACAGCUUGGCUGCAAGACACCUACCUACCUAAGUUUCACAAUUUGUCCCUCAUAGUCAGUCAGGAACUUGACAAUAUGGACGGUAUCCAACUAGGUCCAGUCAGGUUCGAUUUAUCAACUUUAGGCAGUGUUAUAGCCAGUUUGUGGGAACGCGUCACCUCCUGGUUCUCCUGGCCCAACCUGACUACUUGGAUCCUGAUUGCCGUGGCCAUCCUAGUGGGGCUUGUGGUUAUUAAAUGCUUGUUAGAUCGCCUCAUACAAACUCAGCAGCAGGUUAAGAUCACAGCCAUGGCAGCCAUGCAAAUGGCAGCAGGUGGCCCAUCAGGCCAGCAGGCCGCCGCAUAUCUCCUUCACAUUGCAGAACAUCAGCUAUAAGAGCUGAGUGGGCAAGCCAAUGACGGGUAAGACGGGAAAAGCCCUCCCGGUCAACCUAAGACAGGCUCCACUCAGAUAUACAUGGCCUAUAAGGCCAGGGAUCCCUCCCGGAGUCAAAUUAUUGGCAUUGAGAUGCGAGACCAAGGGUACUGCAGUGCCAUCCGCCCCAAAGGUUGGGGGGAAGGCAGGAAUGAAUGUCUAUAUGCAUCCAGGUUCGGUUCACAAAAGCCUGGCCCUGCGAAAAAAUGAACCACUCACCUUGAGCAUGGUCCUGGCGCAAGGAUAUGCACAAAACAGGGUGAUGCACAGCAGGGUAUAGACCUCUACAUUCUCUCAUGCCUCGGCCUACAAGGUAGGCCCACUCCUAGGUGUCUAACAGCAACAAGGUCAUAGACACCUUGGAGGGACCCACAGACCAUCCUAUUUUAAUAAAUAAAAAAGGGGGAGAUGUGGGAAGCCGCCUAUGAUGGUGCCCAUUUCCUGCUUCCGGGUUCUUCCCGGCCUGAACAAGCCCGCCAAAUUGUCAUGUCUGCCCAGUUACCCGUGACGCUAGCCUAUCAGCUUGUUAGACGUGCUUCUCUGUGAUUGGAUACUGCUUCCCCUUAUAAGAGGCUGUUCCUGCCCCCAACGGGCGGAAGAGGAACCAACGUUGAGGGUGGUGGACCUUGUUAGGUCCGGUUCGCUGUACGCAAUAAAGUUUGAGAGCU